RNAcentral lists this ribosomal RNA (550 nucleotides) under uncultured bacterium. RNAcentral describes it as "bacterial SSU rRNA". It matches the Rfam family "Bacterial small subunit ribosomal RNA", at positions 355 to 896 of the family's 1533-position model. The record is from RNAcentral.
UAGGGAGUCUUCGGCAAUGGACGGAAGUCUGACCGAGCAACGCCGCGUGAGUGAAGAAGGUUUUCGGAUCGUAAAGCUCUGUUGUAAGAGAAGAACGAGUGUGAGAGUGGAGAGUUCACACUGUGACGGUAUCUUACCAGAAAGGGACGGCUAACUACGUGCCAGCAGCCGCGGUAAUACGUAGGUCCCGAGCGUUGUCCGGAUUUAUUGGGCGUAAAGCGAGCGCAGGCGGUUAGAUAAGUCUGAAGUUAAAGGCUGUGGCUUAACCAUAGUAGGCUUUGGAAACUGUUUAACUUGAGUGCAAGAGGGGAGAGUGGAAUUCCAUGUGUAGCGGUGAAAUGCGUAGAUAUAUGGAGGAACACCGGUGGCGAAAGCGGCUCUCUGGCUUGUAACUGACGCUGAGGCUCGAAAGCGUGGGGAGCAAACAGGAUUAGAUACCCUGGUAGUCCACGCUGUAAACGAUGAGUGCUAGGUGUUAGACCCUUUCCGGGGUUUAGUGCCGUAGCUAACGCAUUAAGCACUCCGCCUGGGGAGUACGACCGCAAGGUUG